This is a long non-coding RNA of Conger conger (European conger), 2474 nucleotides long. RefSeq lists it as uncharacterized. The record is from RefSeq and is a predicted model, not a curated record. NCBI's taxonomy places the organism in Eukaryota, Metazoa, Chordata, Actinopteri, Anguilliformes, Congridae. The transcript has 4 exons.
UUAACGUGUAACUUGGCAUGGUAGCUGCCCUGCAUUUUCAACCAGGAAACGGCGCCUGAAUUUCUAUUCGUAGAAUUAAAUGUUUAGCCCCUUUAAAGUCAAUCUGUUUGAAAGCUAUGGCUAACAAAUUCAGCCUACCAUUAAGCCUAGCAAUACGGUUACUGUUCUUCUCAAAAGAACCUGUUUGCCAUGCUAACUUUCUGGCUAGACGCCGACUUGGCUAACGCGCUAACUUACGUUAACGAUUAACUUUGCUAGCUAGGUGAAGUAACUUACAGAAAUCAACUUUGUGGUUGAAAAUGCAGAGAAACGAUCCAAUAUGCUGGAAGGAGCUGGAGUCAAAACACUCCAAAUUAAUUCUCCACCACACCUUCAAAUUUUGGCUCAAACAUGUAUGGAAAUAAAAUUGACCUGGUGGAGAAAAGAGAAGUUUCCACACAGAGGGCAGAAGAAUUUGCUGAUGCAGAGUAUGUGGUAUCUGGAAACGUCAGCCAAAGCGUCAGACAAUGUGGAGAAGCUUUCUUUGACCUGGCCUGUGAACUGAUAUGCAAAGCCAAACAGAAUGCGCUGAUUAACAAUGAGGCCUCUCCCAUGCCAAGGGAGGGAAAGACCAUCAGCUUCUUGAACUGCUGCAGCUUUAGCAAGCUUUUUGCCAGAGCCACAAUUUCUCCAUACUAAUUGCCAUUGAACCACCAUCACUCUCCUAAGACUCGGUUUUGGAGUAGCCAUGAUGCCAUGACACGUUACCUCUUAGUACAAGUCUGCUGGGUCUCUGGUCUUUGCCUCUAUGUGGAAGACGACGCAAAGGCAUGAGGUUUCCGGAAAUGGGAGUAGACUGUGAAAAAGGGACAAAGUCCAGAGGGUCAGAAAUGUCUGAUCCCAACAUGCACUUGUCGGUGCUGGGUUUCUGGAUCUUCUCUAUGGGUGUUGAAUGAUCCCCACAUUUAUGCAGAAGUGGACGACAGCUCUUCAAAAGCUUCAAUGUACUGUAUUCUGAUGGUGGCGUCACUGUUUUGUCUUCUUCCUCUACAAUGCCGACACUGUUUUGAUAGCUGCCAAACAGAUCGGCGGAGGCAUUGUAGGCGUCUUUGGUAAAGGGUUGUCUGUUCAACAGUGUUUGCUCAUCCCAUCCAAACUCCCAAGAUGCACCAUGUCCAUCUAGCUUAUGUUCAGAAAUGCAUUGGUUGCUAUGGAAAACUGUGCCCUGCUUCUUAGCCUCCUCAUCCACACAACUGAAUUCUUUGAUUUUGUUUUUUACAUUGCGGUUACAUUGACCCUGGGCAGUCAAAGCCCUUAAACCUGGCACCAAGGGAGCCAAGUCCCCCUUUCCCCUCUCCAGAUCUUCUGAGGCCUCAACAAAAUGAUCUGAUGGAGACAUGUGUACAUGUGGACUGUUUUGUUUAACAUUAUGGUUUCCAGAUAUGUCAAAACAAAGCCCAGCAGACUUUAUGAAAGACCGCCGCACCACAGCUGUAGAGGCUUGCUCUUUGACCUGUGCUCUAUGUACAUAUGAAGUGGUUCUAAAAUUGCAUGAAUGUUCAGUGGAACUACUAACAUUUGCGUGCCUGUAUAUUUCAUCAACACAACCCGUUUUGCUCAUCUCUGCCUCCAUUCUCUUGGCUGGAUCACAAGCCUUGUUCUUUUGAGAUACUUCAGAGAGCGUGUUAGCUUUGCUGAUAAACUCACCCCAACUUUCAGAGAAAGGAAGAUCCUCCCAAGCUGAAGAAUUUGAUAAGUUGCUGUUCCACCCACAAACCGAUAAUCCGUCUUGGAAAGACAACAUGUCAUCUUUUCCCUCAGAAAACCCACCUCUCCACCCAAGUUUUAAACAGAGAGGUUCAUUUUGCUCAAGUUCAACUUGUUCAACCUUGCUAGGCUUUGGAGACUUACAAUUCCCAGACUCAGUGACUGAUGAUGUUAGUUCAAGAGUAUCAGGCAGUAAGGAGCCGCUGCCCUGGAACCUAUUUGGGAGUGAGGACUCGACAGUUUCUCUAGAGUCAUGGCAUACCAAAAAACCCAGACAGCUUCCUUGUGAAGAGUCUUUAUAGCUCACUUCCCCCUUAACAUCUACUGAGCAGCACUGAGGGGAUGGGACAUAAGAGGGUGUGCUAUGUGAACAUUUUUGAGUUUGAGGUCUGAGAGAUUUUCUGCACCGCCACUGUGAGCCGGCAUCAGCUCCAUUUGGUUCCUUCUCUUCCUGCUCUGCCGAAGAAGUGAUUAUCCCAGGUGACUGUUUCCAGUAGCUGUGCCACAAAGAUGAUCUGUUGAAGGAGGCCAAUGAGCACUCAAAGCUUUGCAAUGCCAGGUCAACCUGUUCUAUGGAGGCCGGAGGUCUCUCGGGGUACGGAAAACCAGAGACGUGAACAUCACAUGAUGUCUGGAGCAGUUUCUUGAAAUAACUGAGAACAGAGCUUCCCCCAGCAGCUCCAUUCGGCAAGGUGAUCCGACUAGUGACAAAUUCUCUGGAGAUCCUG